AAGGAGCAAUUCUCCAGCGCAUUCCCAACACAGGUUGGUGAGUGGUUGGCAGAGACAGUUUCGGACCCAUUCGUGGUCCGGCUGGAGCUCAUGGGUGGAACGCUGACAAAUUUCUUCGCAUCAUGGUGUCGGCUCAGUCCGAUAUCGCGGUGAAUAUAUCGACACACUGUUGGGUCCUGAAAGAACACGCGAGUGUCUUUCUGGCAAGAUAACGAUCCUCCCGGAUCUUCGAGAAACCGCCGGCCACUUGGUCGAGUAGGUCUUGGAACAUGAUUUCGGGUUGGGUGUGUUGUUUGAGAACUGCACAGUGGACGCGAGCAUCUUUGUUA
Molecule: unclassified non-coding RNA, 329 nt
Filed under: Nocardia salmonicida
Lineage: Bacteria; Bacillati; Actinomycetota; Actinomycetes; Mycobacteriales; Nocardiaceae
Description: 16S-23S ribosomal RNA intergenic spacer region
Source: RNAcentral